Molecule: RNA transcript, 3319 nt
Organism: Aethalodelphis obliquidens (Pacific white-sided dolphin)
Lineage: Eukaryota; Metazoa; Chordata; Mammalia; Artiodactyla; Delphinidae
Gene: ACOX2
Gene name: acyl-CoA oxidase 2
Exons: 15
Source: RefSeq, a predicted model, not a curated record
CUCCAUACAACAAACAGCCGGCCCCAAGCACCAGACUCCCAGCAGGGUACGAGGUCAACAACGUGACCGCAGUUUAGGAGCUCACCCUGGCAGCCAGAAGAGCAGAUGAGAGGCACUGAGGCCAGGCGAGCGACGAAGGUGGCCGAGGUGGUAGCCAAGGGAAUGGAUGGAACACAUGGAUCUGAGAGACUCGAGAAGUAGAAAGGACUAUACCUGCUGGUCGCCGGGCUGUGGGGAAACAGGGGCUCUGAGAGGCUGAGGGUUUCUUGUGAAGGACGCAGGGCCCACCGUGGCUGUGGAGGACACACAGGGGUCCCGGGGGAACAUGGCACAGGCAAGGGGCAAGCUUCCUCCCCUCAGCUCCGCAGUACCCCUCAAGGCUCACGGAAAUGGGCCAAAUGAGUCUGGGACUUAGUCCCCCAGGUGCGGCUGUAGCAUGGACAGAGCAUGUGUUCUGUGGUCGGACCCGGGCCAACUCCUGGCCAGCAGUAGCUGUGCAGCUAGAGGCCAUGCACUUAACCUCUCUAACAUGAAUUUCUUCGCACGUGACCUUCAUUGACUUUAUGUGAGAAUUUCCCCCAGGCAAUCAGACCCUGUCCAAAUCUUGGCUAGAACGCACUGAACUACCGUUUACUGAGCAGUUACUGCAUACAGUCCUGGACAGUGCCUGGUACACAGCCAAGGGCCACAGGGGAGAGUGCGGGGGUGGAGUGGCACACGAGCAUUUAAGGGAGGUUGCUUUCCUCCAAAGCAGGCCUCAGCUGACACUCAGCCCUGGGCAGUUCCUCCUGCACACAGGUUCUUAGCACAGCCCAAGGCUCAGAGCACCCAGGCCACAAGUCUCUCUUCUCAGACACCAGGCAGACCCGGGCUAGGAUGGGCAGUCCAGUGCACCGAGUGUCAAUGGGGGACACCUGGAGCAGGCAAGUGCACCCUGACAUAGAGAGCGAGCGGCACAUGCAGUCCUUCUGCGUGGAGGAGCUCACCAACAUCCUUGACGGAGGGGCCCAGAACACUGCGCUCCGGAGGGAAGUCGAAAGCAUCAUCCACAGUGACCCAGAGCUUAGCCUGAAGGAUAAUUAUUUCAUGACCCAGAAUGAACGUUAUGAAGCCGCCAUUAAGAAGAAAUUCCACGUCCAGAUGUUAGCACAGCGCCUGGGCUGGUCUGAAGACAGUCGUGAAUUAUAUUACGCUAACAGAAGCCUUUCUGGAGAUCUGGGCUUAGCGUUACAAUUCGUCUUCCAGAAAGCGCUCAGGAGCCUCGGCUCAGAGGAGCAGAUUGCCAAGUGGGACCCACUCUGCAACAAGUUACAGAUCCUUGCGACAUACGCCCAGACAGAACUGGGGCACGGGACAUAUCUUCAGGGCCUGGAGACUGAAGCCACCUACGAUGCAGCCACCCAGGAGUUUGUGGUGCACAGCCCCACGCUGACUGCCAUCAAAUGGUGGCCUGGGGACCUGGGACGGUCGGCCACCCAUGCCCUGGUCCAGGCCCAGCUGAUCUGCUCAGGAGCCCAGCAGGGCAUGCAUGCCUUUAUUGUGCCCAUCCGGAGUCUUGAGGACCACAGUCCACUGCCCGGAAUCACCGUUGGAGACAUUGGGCCCAAGAUGGACUUUGACCACUCGGAUAAUGGCUUCCUGCAACUGGACCAUGUGCGCAUCCCCAGGGAGAACAUGCUGAGCCGCUUUGCACAGGUCUUGCCAGAUGGUACCUACAUCAAGCUCGGAACAGCAAAGAGCAACUACCUCAGCAUGGUGGUGGUGCGGGUGGACAUGCUGUCAAACGAGGUCAUACCACUGCUGCAGAAGGCCUGUGUCAUUGCCAUCCGCUACUCCGUCAUACGCCACCAAUCCCGGCUCCGGCCCAGUGACCCAGAGGCAAAAGUCCUGGACUACCAGACGCAGCAGCAGAAACUCUUUCCUCCGCUGGCCAAGGCCUAUGCAUUCCACUUCGUGGCAAAGAGCCUCUUGGAAUUCUUCCAUCGCUCCUACAGUUCCAUUUUGGACAGAGACUUCAGACUCCUGCCUGAGCUUCACGCACUGAGUGCAGGUAUGAAGGCCUUGGUGUCGGACUUCUGCGUCCAGGGGGCUGAGCUGUGCCGCAGGGCCUGUGGUGGACAUGGCUACUCGAAGCUGAGCGGCCUGCCCUCCCUGGUCACCAGAGUGACAGCCUCCUGCACCUACGAGGGUGAGAACACGGUGCUCUACCUGCAGACAGCCAGGUUUCUGGUGAAGAGCUACCUGCAGGCUCAGGAGUCCACAUCACAGAGGUCUCUCCCUCAGUCUGUUGCAUACCUGACUGCACCUGACCUGGCCAAGUGCCCAGCCCAAAAUGUAGCCGACUUCCUCCACCCAGAGCUUUACACCACGGCCUGGGCACACGUGGCAGCCAGGCUCAUAAAGGACUCAGUGCAUCACUUACAGACUCUCAUGCAAUCUGGGGCUGACAGGCACGAGGCAUGGAACCAGACCACUGUCAUACAUCUCCAGGCCGCCAAGGCACACCUCUACUAUGUCACUGUGAAGAUUUUUACAGAAGCUCUGGAGAAACUGGAAAAUCAACCAGCAAUUCAGCAGGUGCUCAAACGCCUCUGUGAUCUCUAUGCUUUACACGGCAUCAUGACUAACACGGGCGACUUUCUCCAUGAUGGCUUCCUAUCCGGCGUCCAAAUAGAUGUGGCGAGAAAAGCCUACCUGGACCUUCUCCUCCUCAUCCGAAAGGAUGCUGUCUUGUUAACUGAUGCUUUUGACUUCACCGAUCAGUGUUUAAAUUCAGCACUUGGUUGUUAUGACGGAAAUGUCUAUGAACGUCUGUUCCAGUGGGCUCAGAGGUCACCAACCAAUACUCAGACAGUUUCUCCGAAAUGAACUGCAAAAGACUGUUCCUGUUCCCCACGUGCACUCCUAUCUAAGUGAUUCCCUAUAGAUGCAAGCAGUGAAAGAACCACUGGGGAUAAUUUCAAAGGGAACCCUGCCUAUGAGAAAUAUAUAAGACCACUAUUACAAGGCUGGAGAUCCAGGCUAUGAAAUAAUCAACAGCAUUCAGGAGGCACCACCACGUGGUAAUGGUACUAUGGCAUGUGCAUCAUUAAAAUCUACAACUACAUAUGUAUGUAUUUUUUAAAAAGGAUCAUUAUCUUCCAGAGACACAGACUGAAGCAGAUGAAAUAUCUGUGAUUUAUUUCAAAAUAAUCCAUGGGAAGAAAAAGGGGGAGUGAAUCAUUGUUGAAGCUAUUCAAUGGGUACGUGGGUGUUUACAUUAUUCUACUUCCGAAUAUGUUUGAAAUUUCCCACAAUAAAAAAACAGCAGCACUAUCCA